Molecule: long non-coding RNA, 235 nt
Filed under: Lathyrus oleraceus (garden pea)
Lineage: Eukaryota; Viridiplantae; Streptophyta; Magnoliopsida; Fabales; Fabaceae
Description: Pisum sativum (pea) long non-coding RNA (PSAT_LNC020158)
Source: RNAcentral
UCCUUUCAGCCCACAACAGAAUCUUUUUUGCUCAUCACGUUUCCUAGCUUCUAGGAAAUCAUGGGCUACAACAUUAAUUGCCAUUUUCACUACACUGCCCAAGGGAUACACAUGUCCCAUUAACUUGUCCACCAAUAAUGUUGAUUUGAAACGUGUCCCAUGCAGGCCUAUAAAACCCAAUUACUUACCCAUUUCAAAACUUUCUCACAUUCUCUAAAUCUUCAAGCAUUCAAAC